UACGUAGGGUACAAGCAUUAAUCGGAAUUAUUGGGCGUAAAGGGCGCGUAGGCGGAGAUGUAAGUCAGAUGUGAAAUACCAAGGCUCAACCUUGGUGCUGCAUUUGAAACUGCAACUCUAGAGGACAGACGGAGAAAGCGGAAUUCCACGAGUAGCGGUGAAAUGCGUAGAUACGUGGAGGAACACCGGUGGCGAAAGCGGCUUUCUAGUUUUUACCUGACGCUGAGGCGCGAGAGCAAGGGGAGCAAACAGG
RNAcentral lists this ribosomal RNA (253 nucleotides) under uncultured Simkania sp. RNAcentral's name for it is "partial 16S ribosomal RNA". It matches the Rfam family "Bacterial small subunit ribosomal RNA", at positions 524 to 776 of the family's 1533-position model. Lineage: Bacteria; Pseudomonadati; Chlamydiota; Chlamydiia; Parachlamydiales; Simkaniaceae. The record is from RNAcentral.